GGGUUGUGAGGUUAAGCGACUAAGCGUACACGGUGGAUGCCCUGGCAGUCAGAGGCGAUGAAGGACGUGCUAAUCUGCGAUAAGCGUCGGUAAGGUGAUAUGAACCGUUAUAACCGGCGAUUUCCGAAUGGGGAAACCCAGUGUGAUUCGUCACACUAUCAUUAACUGAAUCCAUAGGUUAAUGAGGCGAACCGGGGGAACUGAAACAUCUAAGUACCCCGAGGAAAAGAAAUCAACCGAGAUUCCCCCAGUAGCGGCGAGCGAACGGGAUA
RNAcentral lists this ribosomal RNA (272 nucleotides) under Escherichia coli. Its description in RNAcentral is "partial 23S ribosomal RNA". It matches the Rfam family "Bacterial large subunit ribosomal RNA", at positions 1 to 265 of the family's 2925-position model. Lineage: Bacteria; Pseudomonadati; Pseudomonadota; Gammaproteobacteria; Enterobacterales; Enterobacteriaceae. The record is from RNAcentral.